UAGUUGAGGGUACAUACAGUAUAUAUACUCCCACUGAAGUUCAGCUGUUGUUCAUCUACUCAGAGAACUCAGCUUCGAUCCAAUUAAAAACACGACAGACAGAAGCUAACGGUAAGAACAGAAGAUGACUGACAGGAGCAGGGAUGCUGCAUCAGUGCAAAGGGAGUAUGUGCGUGUGUCUAAAUCCCUCAAUCGGAAGGAGGAGGAAUACAUUAAAGAGAGACAAGCGGUGGUGG
Molecule: long non-coding RNA, 236 nt
Organism: Scleropages formosus (Asian bonytongue)
Lineage: Eukaryota; Metazoa; Chordata; Actinopteri; Osteoglossiformes; Osteoglossidae
Exons: 3
Source: RefSeq, a predicted model, not a curated record